This 387-nucleotide unclassified non-coding RNA is filed under the name uncultured Ceratobasidium. RNAcentral's name for it is "partial contains 5.8S ribosomal RNA, internal transcribed spacer 2, and large subunit ribosomal RNA". The stretch from base 1 to 102 matches the Rfam family "5.8S ribosomal RNA", at positions 53 to 154 of the family's 154-position model. The record is from RNAcentral. Lineage: Eukaryota; Fungi; Basidiomycota; Agaricomycetes; Cantharellales; Ceratobasidiaceae.
AUGCGAUAAGUAAUGUGAAUUGCAGAAUUCAGUGAAUCAUCGAAUCUUUGAACGCACCUUGCGCUCCUUGGUAUUCCUCGGAGCAUGCCUGUUUGAGUAUCAUGAAACUCUCAAAGUAAAUCUUUUGUUAAUUCAAUUGAUUUUGCUUUGGACUUGGAGGUUUUUUUUGCAGAUUUAUUUCUGCUCCUCUUAAAUUUAUUAGCUGGAUCUCAGUAUAUGCUCGGUUCCACUCGGCGUGAUAAGUAUCACUCGCUGAGGACACUUUGUAAAUAAAUAAAAAAGGUGGCCGGGAAAUGCAGAUGAACCGCUUCUAAUAGUCCAUUUGCUUGGACAAUUAAAGUUUUAAGAUCUGAUCUCAAAUCAGGUAGGACUACCCGCUGAACUUAA